Acomys russatus (golden spiny mouse) is the source of this 533-nucleotide long non-coding RNA. RefSeq lists it as uncharacterized. The record is from RefSeq and is a predicted model, not a curated record. Lineage: Eukaryota; Metazoa; Chordata; Mammalia; Rodentia; Muridae. The transcript has 3 exons.
UCGGGGAGGGGGUCCAGCUAAAGGAGGACCCUGGAGGAGGUCCAGUUGAGGAGGUCCCUGAGACCUGCCCUUUGGGAGAGGACAGAGAUGGUGUGUGCACACUCUUCUUACACAGGUAUUGAUUUUGACUUCUGUCUUUUGCACCUUGCCCUCAGGUGGUGGUUCUAAACAGCUGCUCCUCGGUCUUUUCUUCACUGGACAUGGUUCUGUGUGACCCGGGUGAUUGCCUGACCCUAACAAGACCCAUAUGAUCUGGGAUACUAGUAAGGAUUUUGGAACGCCUUCCUUCCACUGUGGUGUUCUCUAUACACACAGCAAGGAGGUAGCCUCUGCUGUGAAAGCUUUCGGCUACCUCCACGGUGUCACUGGCAUUACUCAGUACAAGCUGUCCCGGCUGCUCCAGGCCAGAGGUACUAAGCAAAACCCUGGGAUAGCAUCUGGACUGGACUUCAUGGCCAUGGGGGUUGCUGGGUUUUCUGGGGCGGGUCUCUAGCAUGCACUCAAUAAACUUGAGGAUCUGUUCACUGUUUGAA